RNAcentral lists this long non-coding RNA (3069 nucleotides) under Anolis carolinensis (green anole). Its description in RNAcentral is "lncRNA (ENSACAG00000043700.1)". Lineage: Eukaryota; Metazoa; Chordata; Lepidosauria; Squamata; Anolidae. The record is from RNAcentral.
UCUUGGCAACCGCAGGAGUAUUCUUGUGCUCCAUGGCAAGAGGCUCACUAGUCAGUCAGUGCUAUAUUUAUCUUGUAGCUGAACACACACAUUUGCAAGAGGUUGUUCAAUAAGGGAAAGGCAACCAGCCAAGGCACGGUUCAAACCUUGGAAGUUUGUCCCAGCAUCAUCCAGCAGACUGCAGAGAGGGAAUUCUUCGAUGGCCUGGAAGAGUUAAACCCCUGGCUUGGAACAAAGGAUUCGCUGAUUUGUCUCCUGGCUUUGUGAGAGACGGAGGAAGAGUUUGUAAGAUGGAGUUGAACAAGUUUCUGGGUGCACCAGGCGGGCAACGGAGGAGGCAAGAGGAAGCCUGUGCCGCCGGUGCAGGCAGCCGAGAUGCUGAAGCCAGCGAUGAUCUGGAUUAUGUACAAAUGUAUCUCACCUGUUUACCUGAGAGAUACAUGAAGGCAAAGUUUACUUUGACAGCCUAUCUGGCUUGUUGGCUAAUCUUGAAACUCUGCAAGAGAGCCUGGGAGAGAAGAGGCUCAACUUUCCACAAGGUAAGUUUUCAUAUCAAAAUGUCACCUUUAAUGUGUUACUAACAAAAAAAAAAAAAAAAAAAAAAGAAGCUUCGUUUAAAAAUAUCUAUGGAAAUCUACUUUUUAAAAAGCGGUUCCCUUGUGCUGCUCAACAAGAAACUGAGAAUACUUUUUUAAAAAUGUACUUAUUGCUUAAACUUAAAUGAAUAGAGUAUUCAGUCUAAACCAGUAGUUCUCAACCAUCCUAAUGCUGCAACCCCUCAAUACAAUUCAUCUUGUUGUGGUGACCCCUAACCAUAAAAUUAUUUUUGUUGCUACUUCAUAACUGUCACUUUGCUCCUGUUAUGAAUUGUAAUGUAAAUAUCUGAUAUGUUGGAUGUAUUUUCAUUCACUGGACCAAAUUUGGCAGAAAUACUCAAUACGCUCAAAUUUGAAUACUGGUGGGGUUGGGAAGGGAUUGAUUUUGUCAUUUGGGAGUUGUAGUUGCUGGGAUUUAUAGUUCACCUAUAAUCAAAGAGCAUUUUGAACUCCACCAGUGAUGAAAUUGAACCACACUUGCCACACAGAACUCCCAUGACCAAGGGUUUGGUGGGCAUUGACCCUGAGUUUUGGAGUUGUAGUUCACCUACAUCCAGAGAGCACUGUGGGCUCAAACAAUGAUGGAUUUGGACCAAACUUGGCAUGAAUAUAAAUAUGCCCAAAUGUGAACACUGGUGGAGCUUGGGGAAAAUAGACCUUGACAUUUGGGAAUGGUAGUUGCUGGGAUUUAUAGUUUACCUACAAUCAAAGAGCCCCUUGGACCCCACCAACGAUAGAAUUGGGCCAAACUUCCCACACAGAACCCCCAUUACCAACAGAAAGUACUGGAGGGUAUUUGGGAGGAAUUGUCUGUGAUUUAGGGGAGAUAUAGUUCACUUACCUCCGGAGAGCAUUGUGAAUUUAUAUUUGUUUUCUGAAGGUCUUUGGCAACCCCUCUGACACCCCCUCAUGACCCCCUCCAGGGGUCCCGACCCCCAGGUUGAGAAACACUGGUCUAAACAGUUACAGAAUUGCAAUGGCAAUGACAUUAUUAGCAACCACAGCAAACACUGAAUCUAGGUUACAAUGAAAAAGCCACUGGUGGUGGAAAAGCAAAGCUCAACUGCAUUCCUAGAGUGCAUUUACACUGUAGAAUUAAUACUGUUUGACUGUUUGACAACAAUUUGGCUCAUUGCCAUGGGAUGGGUAGUUUGAUGAGACACCAGCACUCUUUGGCAGAGAAGGAUGAAGACUUUAUAAAACUACAAUUCCAGUGAUUCAAUAGCAUUGAGCCAUGGCAGUCGAAGUGGUGUCUAAAUUGCAUUUAUUCUAAGUGUAGAUGCACCCCUAUAUACCUCUGGUUGCGAGUAAACCCCAUUGAAUUAAUAGAAUUUAUGUUUGAGGAGACGUGAAUAGGAUUGGACUGUUAAUAUGUAAUCUAUUAUUUGAACUCAAGGACAUCUGCAUGCCCAUAAUAGACACUGAUUACACUUGUUCAUUCCGUUACAUUUCUAAUGAGGUUUGAUGAUGUGGCAAAUGCAGUGAUAAUAAAAUAUAUGAAAAUGCUCAUAUUAUCAAAUGAUGUUUUGAUUGCUCUUGCAGCCAAGCGUUUUUGCCGUCUUUCUAUUCAUGCAUCACAUGGCUCCAAAAUGUCCCUCUCCAAUUAAAAACACAAACAAACUAUUUGGAGUUUACAUCCUUUCCCUUCUUUGUCUUUGCACAAAGCGGCUGGCAAGAGCCCUGACCGCCUGAGAGCAGGAUCUUGCCAGAGCUGACUAAUCAAUAUUCAAGAGAGUGAGUUGCUCAUUAUGCAGCCAUUGAUUAUCUCUCAAAGUUGCUCGCUGUGCAUUUCUCAUUCUUCCCUCUUUUCUUCCCUUGCCACAUGCAUAACUGCGCAUGUACACACACAAACAUACCUCCCACAAGGCCUCCCUUUUGUGCCUCGCAGGAAAAACAAAACCUGGAGCAAAACCCCAUGGGGACACCCACCCAUCGAGGUCAGGGAAUGGCAUGCAUUCCAAUGGGAAAGGAGGGGUGUAAGGAAAACUCUUUCUUAAUUCAAAAUAUGCCUCGCUUUCAAUGCUAGAAACAGAAGAAUGAAAGGAGAGGAAAAGUCCCACCAAAUUCCAUUUGGUAACAGCCUACUGUGUAAUUCUGCUCUGCGAAAAGAAUGAAAUACAAUACAAUGUGGGAUAUACCUUAUCUGUUGUUGACCACAACAAUUUGAAAUGCCACGGAACUUGGAUGAAACCAAGAUUUUUCUGGUGUUCUUUGAGCUGCAUCUUUGACAUCUCUUUUAAAUUUCCAUUGAACCUUAGGAUGCACCUACACUGCAGAAUGAAUACAGUUUGACACCACUUUAACUGCCUUGGCUCAAUGUUAUGGAAUCCUGGGAGUUGUAAUUUGGUGUGGCAUCAGCACUUUUUGGCGGAGAAGGCUAAAGACCUUGUAAAAUGACAACUGCCAUAAUUCCAUAGCAUUGAACCAUGGCUGUUCAAGUGGUGUCAAACUGCAUUAAUUCUAUAGUGUAGAU